AGAACACUUCCCUAGCAACUAACCUAACUCCCCCCUGAUGCAGCUCCAUGGCUUUCCCUCAACUCCUGCCACCAGAGAGCAGAGAGGUAAAUGUGAUCUGUGAAUAAGGUGAACUGAUGGAUUCUACCAAUUGAGAAGAUGAAGACUGAGCUCUUUGCCAGUGGCAGUGAUGACGUUCAGAUCUCAAGUUACAGUAAAAGGUGAACAGAAGGAAAAAGUCAUCUCACGUCACCAGAUACAAAUGCCAAGAUUGUACUUAAGUUCUGUAAAAAAAACAAACAACAAAAAUUAUACAUUUACAAUAAAAAUACUGUUUC
Long non-coding RNA from Numida meleagris (helmeted guineafowl), 317 nucleotides. RefSeq lists it as uncharacterized. NCBI's taxonomy places the organism in Eukaryota, Metazoa, Chordata, Aves, Galliformes, Numididae. The record is from RefSeq and is a predicted model, not a curated record. The transcript has 3 exons.